Molecule: ribosomal RNA, 301 nt
Filed under: uncultured bacterium
Lineage: Bacteria
Description: partial 16S ribosomal RNA
Rfam family: Bacterial small subunit ribosomal RNA
Source: RNAcentral
CAGCCGCCGCGGGAAUACGAAGGGGGCUAGCGUUGCUCGGAAUGACUGGGCGUAAAGGGCGCGUAGGCGGCAUACACAGUCAGAUGUGAAAUUCCUGGGCUUAACCCGGGGGCUGCAUUUGAUACGUGUAGGCUAGAGUGGGGAAGAGGGUUGUGGAAUUCCCAGUGUAGAGGUGAAAUUCGUAGAUAUUGGGAAGAACACCGGUGGCGAAGGCGGCAACCUGGUCCUUGACUGACGCUGAGGCGCGAAAGCGUGGGGAGCAAACAGGAUUAGAUACCCCUGUAGUCCCUGUCUCUUAUAC